Non-coding RNA from Coffea arabica (coffee), 2137 nucleotides. The record is from RefSeq and is a predicted model, not a curated record. NCBI's taxonomy places the organism in Eukaryota, Viridiplantae, Streptophyta, Magnoliopsida, Gentianales, Rubiaceae.
GGAAGGCGGCAGAAAACCCUAGCUCCCUCGUCCGUUCCUCCCCAAACACCAAAACCCUCUCGCUAUAUCUCCGUGUAUAAGUAGGUGGCGAGUCGAUAGAAGUAUCAGCAGCACUAAUAUUUUCGUGGGGAUCGUUGGGUUGGGGUAGGGCUAGUCUUCUGGUUCUAUGAUUCAGUUCUAUCUUUCCUUUUCUCCUUUUUCUGUAUUUGUAGGUAAAUCGAAAGCCUGUUGGAGCAUGUGAAUUUUCCUCCAUCCAUAUUGUUUGUGAUUUUAUUUUCUGCGUUUGGGCCUAUGAUUAAAUUUCAUCAAAACAUUGACAAGCAUAUGUCUGAAUUUAUGCUGUGUUGACAGAUCUAAUCUUCUCAAUGAGGCCCUCUACGUUUCUUCUGUUCUGUUUUUAUUUUGGGGUUUUCUUUUCGAGUAUGUGCUCUCUCUGUUCAUUUCAAGCAAAACUUUGGUUGACAUGAUGAUUAUUUUUCAUUUAUUAUCGUGAUUUUUUAAAAAAAUUCCGUUUGGAGUUUCCUUUUGUUUUCCCCAAAUGCUUUCUUUUUCUUUUUAAGAUGAACGUAAUAGAAGAAUGCCAAUGAUGAUUUACAGUGAUGAUGUUAUGUAUGAGAAAUCAGGGAUUACAACACCACUCUACUGCCUUCCUUCUGAGGCAAUACUACUUUAUUCUUACUCUAUUCCCUUUUUUUUCAUCUCUUUUUUGUUUUGUUUUUAAAAUUUUCACUUUAGCCGCGUUUAAGUUUGAUUCUUCAUUAACCAGAAGGUAUAACACAGGGCUACUUUUUCAAACUUGUUUUAGACGAGGAAUUAAUCGAGUCAUGGGAGAUUGUGAAGUCAGGUGAUGAUCAGAAGCAUAGUUCAAAUGAUAAAUCAUUUUUUAACGUGAUUAUAAAAUUUCUAAAGUCUUUCGCUCCUAUCUGAUGGCACUUCUGACUCCCAUGAAAUUAUUUCAUUUAGCUCUUUAAUUUUUUUUUUCUUUUUUCUUUUCCUUCAUUAAUGGUUAAUCAAAAAGUAUCGUCGCUGUUUGUAGUAUUUCUUUUUUUCUGGAAUAUUGCAGAAGAUUUUUUUUUUUUGAGGGAAAGAGUUACAGAAGAUUCAACUUUUUCCCUCUUUUGGGGACAGUGAUGAAUAAAUCAUAUUGGUCUCGUUCGGCGUAAUGGUGUUCAAUGCGAAUACCUUGCCGACCAUCCUGAUAUAUCACCACCCAUAAACUGAGUCCCCCUACUCACAAAUUUGUAUUUUUGUUUUCUGAGUUCUUUUAACAUUUUAAACCUUGAAAGCUCCUGAAUUUGUCUGCAAUACAAUGUUGCUGUCCGAGUCUAAUGCCCCCGAAUCGUGCAACUUUAAAGAGAAAUUGUACAGAAUGCUAAAAUUUGUUUAUCAGAUAAUUUAGUGGCAGUUCAGCAACAUGAAUGGAUGAGCUUGGUAUCAGAUAAUGGAAGUAUGCAAACGAAGAUGAUACGGAACAAUAGAUGCUGCAUAUGCUGUGUGAGGACAGACAUCAGGUUGGAAAAACGAAGUAGAUGAAAACCAUGGCAGAAACACAAGUAAAAGAACCCAAAAAAAAAAAAAGAGCGCUUCUCUCUCUCCUGGUUCUAAGGCCAUUAGAAAAGAGAACAAUCAAACCAAGAAAAAGGCCGAUGAUAUGGCAUAAUUUGGAUUAUUAGAUUUUUGAAGAUGGAAUCUACUUAAGUUUUGGCCAAGAAGGCUCACAAUUGGGCGAAAAAAAAUGCAAUCUCUGCUUAUCCGACCCAAUACGAGCAACACGACAGCCUUAAUUGGUGUGCCAAGAAGUCUGCUAAUUCAUUUGCCAGCCCAUGCGAGAAAUUCUCCUAGUUAGAACCUUAACCAAAUUUCAACAAGGGCACCUCGCCAAAGGCGAAAUGCGUGCGCUGAUGAGAUUGCACUGUGCUGUAAAUUUACCUCAAAUGAACACCCAAGGCGGUAAUAAAAUCCUUAACAAGUUUUUUAUUUUUUAUUUUUUGGGUGCGUGUUUGUACCAGAAUGGGAUAAAACAAAAAACCGAAUUUCAAGUGAUUGUAAAAGCUUUUUUACCGGAGGAAAAAUUUGACGUGAUUAGCAUGUUUCAAAAUUUUUUUAAAAAAAAUGAAGGCAGAGAACUUUCAGUCAA